GGGAAACACAGACAAUCCUAUAGGCUGUAUAUAAACUUGUCUUAUAGUUUAGGGCUUUGGUGUGUGUUGUUUUUUUACGCAGAGAUCUUUCCAACUCUUCUUUGCAUUUUAUUAUGCCUACGCUCUGUUUCCAAACACUUUUUGAUAAGCUGUCCAAACAUGCCUAGGUAUGGCUUUAUGUGAUUGCCGCGAUGUCAUCGGGAGCCAUUUCAUCUAGCCUACCACGGGGAUGCCAGAACAGCUUCAUAUAAAAGUACAAGAAAAAAAAAAUGAAGCAAGGCUGAACUGGUGAAGAAAAUUUGCCAUUAUGAUUCCAAGUGAAACACUUUUUAGAAGAACUGUCUAAUAAGGAGCCAGCUCUUUGACAUGGUGCAUUACAGCGAGUAAGCAACUUGGCUGCUCUCCCAGGCAGAGAGCAGCUCACUGGGUGCCACCACAUUGCCCUUAAACCAGUGGUUUCCCCAGUCACUGCUUAAUAUGUU
RNAcentral lists this long non-coding RNA (482 nucleotides) under Gallus gallus (chicken). Lineage: Eukaryota; Metazoa; Chordata; Aves; Galliformes; Phasianidae. The record is from RNAcentral.